Molecule: ribosomal RNA, 497 nt
Filed under: uncultured bacterium
Lineage: Bacteria
Description: partial 16S ribosomal RNA
Rfam family: Bacterial small subunit ribosomal RNA
Source: RNAcentral
GAUGAACGCUGGCGGCGUGCCUAAUACAUGCAAGUCGAGCGAACAGAUGAGGAGCUUGCUCCUCUGACGUUAGCGGCGGACGGGUGAGUAACACGUGGAUGACCUACCUAUAAGACUGGGAUAACUUCGGGAAACCGGAGCUAAUACCGGAUAAUAUAUUGAACCGCAUGGUUCAAUAGUGAAAGACGGUUUUGCUGUCACUUAUAGAUGGAUCCGCGCCGCAUUAGCUAGUUGGUAAGGUAACGGCUUACCAAGGCAACGAUGCGUAGCCGACCUGAGAGGGGGAUCGGCCACACUGGAACUGAGACACGGCCCAGACUCCUACGGGAGGCAGCAGUGGGGAAUCUUCCGCAAUGGGCGAAAGCCUGACGGAGCAACGCCGCGGGAGUGAUGAAGGUCUUCGGAUCGUAAAACUCUGUUAUUAGGGAAAAACAAAUGUGUAAGUAACUAUGCACGUCUUGACGGUACCUAAUCAGAAAGCCACGGCUAACUACGGG